RNAcentral lists this ribosomal RNA (301 nucleotides) under uncultured bacterium. RNAcentral's name for it is "partial 16S ribosomal RNA". It matches the Rfam family "Bacterial small subunit ribosomal RNA", at positions 509 to 807 of the family's 1533-position model. The record is from RNAcentral.
CAGCAGCCGCGGGAAUACGUAGGUGGCAAGCGUUGUCCGGAAUUAUUGGGCGUAGAGGGCUCGCAGGCGGUUUCUUAAGUCUGAUGUGAAAGCCCCCGGCUCAACCGGGGAGGGUCAUUGGAAACUGGGAAACUUGAGUGCAGAAGAGGAGAGUGGAAUUCCACGUGUAGCGGUGAAAUGCGUAGAGAUGCGGAGGAACACCAGUGGCGAAGGCGACUCUCUGGUCUGUAACUGACGCUGAGGAGCGAAAGCGUGGGGAGCGAACAGGAUUAGAUACCCCGGUAGUCCCUGUCUCUUAUAC